This 809-nucleotide long non-coding RNA is filed under the name Androctonus crassicauda. The record is from RNAcentral. Lineage: Eukaryota; Metazoa; Arthropoda; Arachnida; Scorpiones; Buthidae.
CCUCAGUCCAGCGAGCAGGAUUCAGGCUAACGAAAGCUGCAUACCAUCCUGAGUACAGGUGCCUGCCCCUGCCACACACUAGCUAGGAAAGCCUGUCCCCAAAUCCCAGCGAUCCAUUCCUGAGUACAAGCAGACCAAAGGCCCCACCCAGGGGGAUGGCGCAGCCAAAGCUAGAACAAGGUAACCGAGUGUUCAUCUGAGCACAUUUCCCAGGGUCAGUGGCUGAAAGUCGUGAGUGCCAUCGUGGCCACCCAGGUUGUUAAGCAUCACCCAGGUGUCUGGUGUCUGGAGGAAGCUCCAGCCUGGGUCUCUGAACCCCCAAGUUCAAGGCAUAUCUGCACCGACUGGUACUGGACUCACCCAUCCACACGUCACCUUAGUGUCACUUAUUGGCAACGCCAUAGAACAGCAGGCCCUUGCAUUCUACAUUUCUUUUGGAAGUUACCCAUUCAUGAGUAAAAACAGGAAAAUGUCACUUGGUAAAUGCAAUCUUUUUGUUUUAAAACCUAGAAGACGGGUGAAUGGGAAGGGGAGUGGUUCUGAUACUGUGUCUGAACAAAGCUUUAAUGAAGAUAUGUAUGUUGGAAGUAUUAUGAAAGUGUGAUUCUAAUUUUGCAGAAAAAAGUCUAUCAAUUUAUAUAGCUUUAUUUUUUACCUUAUCAAGAGAUACAGAAUUUUAAUAUGCAUAUAUUGUCUGACUUAGAAUCAUGUGUGUCUGCAUUACCACUUAAAAUGUUUAUCUAGUAUGUAAUGUAUGAAUAAGAGAGAAUCGGAGAUGUAUUUAACAUGAAUGGUUAUCUGUAGCUGUC